Bos taurus (domestic cattle) is the source of this 1531-nucleotide long non-coding RNA. Lineage: Eukaryota; Metazoa; Chordata; Mammalia; Artiodactyla; Bovidae. The record is from Ensembl.
CCUUCCUCCUUCCUUCCUGUCGAGUGUUCUGCCUGACUACACAAACUCAAUGCGCGCGGCUCCCCCGUUGCAAGAAGUGGACUUGACCGGAGCUAAAACCAACAAAGGCAGAUUCUGGUGGGAGCUGCGGAAGCGCCGGGCACUGAGUCAACAGGAGGAACCGGACAAAUUUUUUCGGGUGCUAGGUAGUUUUUGGCUUAGAAGGAGGAACAGAUACUUUGGCCAUCUGAUGCAAAGAAAGGACUCAUUUGAAAAGACCCUGAUGCUGGGAAAGACUGAAGGCGGGAGAAGGGGACGACAGAGGAUGAGAUGGUUGGAUGGCAUCACCAUUCAACGUGAGUUUGAGCAAACUCCGGGGGACAGUGAAGGACAGGGAAGCCUGGCGUGCUGCGGUCCGUGGGGUCUCAAAGAGUUGGAACUGAACUGAAGGAACAGAUGUCUUCUGUCUUUUGUUUUUGUUGUUGUUGCUGUUGUUUUUGGUAGUGCCUCUUUAUCCACCUACCCAACACAUACACAGAGUUUUGGGCCUGUAAUAAGUGAUCAAUAAUUGUUGGAUUGGAUUGAGCUGAGCUGAGUAGAUUUAAAUUGAAUAGAGCUGGACCUACAAAACACUCAGAAUUGCACUAACAGCAGUAGCGUGAUGGCAUUUUUUCUGUGGUACAUCUGAUAGCUCUGUUUGCCCGGUGUGUCCAUUUUCCCUUAGCAUAGAACAGCACCUGAUUUGCAACCAGAGGAUCACCCUCCCCUACUCACUGUCCAAGGGAUUCACAUACAUGGCUGCAAGGCCACAGCUAGUCCACAGGAUACCUUUGUGCAAAUUAAAGUCAUACACCCCUUCCUCCAGGCAGAACACCAGGCUUGCCCAGCAAGUAGCUGGUGCUGCACUGCCUGGUCAGCUGGAAGUUAUACAUGGUUCACAAUUAGCCUCAGUCGUUCUCAUUUGCAGCAGUACACUUACUCACACUGGCCAAUCAGCCCAUUCAACUUCUCAGGCCACAGUAAAGAGUUUCAGAAACAGAAAUGUGAACUGAGUUGAGCUUAUGAAAGUUAGCCAGAGAACUUUAGCUGGAAUUAUAGAAAUGAGGCAUUCUUACUUUCUGGUGGAAUGAUUAAAUGGCGGCAUACAGAUUUGGAGCUGCACUUGACUAUCAUCAUCAUCAUCAAUGAGGAAGAGUCAGCAAAAGGUGCAUGAGAUGGAAUCAAUGACAGAUUAUGAAUCGUAUCCUAUGAGUACCUGGAUUCAGUCAUGUCUGAAUCAAAUCACCUUUUCAGUUAUGUUUAAAAGCCAAUAAAUUCUUUUUUUUUGAAUAAGCCAGUUUAAUGAUUCUCUGUCAUUUAUAAGCCCAAAAAAAUCUUAACCAGAAUGAUUGUUAUGGCAGGAAGAGAUAAAUCUUACAAUUGAUGGUAUUUAUGUAACUGAAUUUAUCUGGUAUUUUGACAUCAGUGCAGUUCAUAAUCCUUUCAGUAACAGGUAACUCAGUAUAAAUCAAUCUUAUAAACAAGCAUUGUCUUUUCUCCUUCAGUAUACAAU